Arachis stenosperma is the source of this 606-nucleotide long non-coding RNA. RefSeq lists it as uncharacterized. The transcript has 2 exons. The record is from RefSeq and is a predicted model, not a curated record. Lineage: Eukaryota; Viridiplantae; Streptophyta; Magnoliopsida; Fabales; Fabaceae.
GAACCAGCCGGUCAGACUGAACCGCCCUAUUUGAACAAAACGACGCCGUUUUGCUUAAGGAAAAGAAAAAGAAAUCAGAAAAGCGUGUGCGCCCCUCAGCAGUCACCCUUUCUCCAAUCUCCUUCGUAGUUCCUUCGACUUCGAGUUCAGAGAGCAGAAGAAGCCCUCAACCUCAACCACCGCUGCAAGGAGGAGCCGUGUUUGCCGCCUUCCGUCGCAGUUAGGGGCUUGUCUCCUUAAGUCUUCGUGCGUCGCAGUGAAAGGCGUUCUCCAAGUCUUUGUCUGUUCGCAAUCACCAGUCGCAGGCGCGCAGCUUCUUCCUCGAGCUCGGCGGCCAUCGUCUGUCGCCGUCCGUCCUCCUCUGCCAUCGAAGGGUUGUUCUUUGCCAUCUUGGGAACGCUGUUGUUCAUACGAGGGUUCUACUACACAAGGAUUGCAUAUUAUGCUUACAAGGGUUACAACUUACAAGGGAUUCUCUUUCUCUAACAUACCUCGAGUUUAGUUUACUAAUAUAUAUGUAUGUCAUAUUGUUAAACCAUAUAUACUGGCCUACUUGCUACGACUGUUAGGAUUUUGUUCUAUCUAGCGAACCAUUCUGCUCUGAAA